GGCCUGGUAGCCAAGUGGUAAGGCAGAGGACUGCAAAUCCUUUAUCGGCGGUUCGAUCCCGCCCCAGGCCU
Molecule: transfer RNA, 71 nt
Filed under: Patescibacteria group bacterium
Lineage: Bacteria
Description: tRNA-Cys
Rfam family: tRNA
About the family: Transfer RNA (tRNA) molecules are approximately 80 nucleotides in length. Their secondary structure includes four short double-helical elements and three loops (D, anti-codon, and T loops). Further hydrogen bonds mediate the characteristic L-shaped molecular structure. tRNAs have two regions of fundamental functional importance: the anti-codon, which is responsible for specific mRNA codon recognition, and the 3' end, to which the tRNAs corresponding amino acid is attached (by aminoacyl-tRNA synthetases). tRNAs cope with the degeneracy of the genetic code in two manners: having more than one tRNA (with a specific anti-codon) for a particular amino acid; and 'wobble' base-pairing, i.e. permitting non-standard base-pairing at the 3rd anti-codon position.
Source: RNAcentral